This 455-nucleotide ribosomal RNA is filed under the name uncultured bacterium. RNAcentral describes it as "bacterial SSU rRNA". It matches the Rfam family "Bacterial small subunit ribosomal RNA", at positions 34 to 487 of the family's 1533-position model. The record is from RNAcentral.
CGCUGGCGGCAUGCUUACACAUGCAAGUCGAACGGCAGCACGGGCCUCGGCCUGGUGGCGAGUGCGAACGGGUGAGUAAUACAUCGGAACGUACCCAGAAGUGGGGGAUAACGUAGCGAAAGUUACGCUAAUACCGCAUACGUUCUACGGAAGAAAGUGGGGGAUCGCAAGACCUUAUGCUUUGGAGCGGCCGAUGUCUGAUUAGCUAGUUGGUGAGGUAAAGGCUCACCAAGGCGACGAUCAGUAGCUGGUCUGAGAGGACGACCAGCCACACUGGAACUGAGACACGGUCCAGACUCCUACGGGAGGCAGCAGUGGGGAAUUUUGGACAAUGGGCGCAAGCCUGAUCCAGCAAUGCCGCGUGAGUGAAGAAGGCCUUCGGGUUGUAAAGCUCUUUUGUGCUGGGAAGAAACGGCAGGGGCUAAUAUCCUUUGCUAAUGACGGUACCUAAGAAU